UGGGGAAUAUUGCGCAAUGGGGGAAACCCUGACGCAGCAACGCCGCGUGAGCGAUGAAGGUUUUCGGAUCGUAAAGCUCUGUCUUUGGGGAAGAUAAUGACGGUACCCAAGGAGGAAGCUCCGGCUAACUACGUGCCAGCAGCCGCGGUAAUACGUAGGGAGCAAGCGUUGUCCGGAUUCACUGGGCGUAAAGAGCACGUAGGCGGUUAAUUAAGUCAGGUGUGAAAGUUUUCGGCUCAACCGGAAAAGUGCACUUGAAACUGGAUAACUUGAGUAUCGGAGAGGUAAGCGGAAUUCCUAGUGUAGCGGUGAAAUGCGUAGAGAUUAGGAAGAACACCGGUGGCGAAGGCGGCUUACUGGACGAUAACUGACGCUGAGGUGCGAAAGCGUGGGGAGCGAACAGGAUUAGAUACC
Molecule: ribosomal RNA, 414 nt
Filed under: uncultured bacterium
Lineage: Bacteria
Description: bacterial SSU rRNA
Rfam family: Bacterial small subunit ribosomal RNA
Source: RNAcentral